GUGUCAGCCGCCGCGGUAAUACGAAGGUGGCAAGCGUUACUCGGAAUUACUAGGCGUAAAGCGCAAGCAGGCGGUUCGGUAAGUCCUUUGUGAAAGCUCCCGGCUUAACUGGGAGAGGCCAAGGGAAACUUCCGGGCUAGAGUGUGGUAGAGGAAGCUGGAAUUCCCGGUGUAGCGGUGAAAUGCGUAGAGAUCGGGAGGAAUACCUAUGGCGAAAGCAGGCUUCUGGGCCAUCACUGACGCUGAGUUGCGAAAGCUAGGGGAGCAAACAGGAUUAGAAACCCUCGUAGUCC
This 292-nucleotide ribosomal RNA is filed under the name uncultured bacterium. RNAcentral's name for it is "partial 16S ribosomal RNA". It matches the Rfam family "Bacterial small subunit ribosomal RNA", at positions 505 to 796 of the family's 1533-position model. The record is from RNAcentral.